GAUGUGGACCGAUUAAGUUGAUGUAGAUCGGAUCUAUUUUUAUUUUUGUAUUCUUUUAUGCUUGUCAUCACUUGAUUUCAAUGGAAUACAUUUUCUCGAGUUGUGAGUUUCAAUCCCCUAAAGUUCCAAAUUUUAAAAAUAACGUUCUCAUCAUAUUUUUAUUGAAAAAUAAAAAGAAGAAAAUAAAAAUGAGAGGGGG
RNAcentral lists this long non-coding RNA (199 nucleotides) under Elaeis guineensis (African oil palm). RNAcentral's name for it is "long non-coding RNA (EGUI_LNC073560)". The record is from RNAcentral. Lineage: Eukaryota; Viridiplantae; Streptophyta; Magnoliopsida; Arecales; Arecaceae.